This 365-nucleotide transfer-messenger RNA is filed under the name Methylophilus methylotrophus. RNAcentral's name for it is "Standard tmRNA". It matches the Rfam family "transfer-messenger RNA". From Rfam's summary of the family: Bacterial tmRNA, also known as 10Sa RNA or SsrA, is named for its dual tRNA and mRNA-like properties. The record is from RNAcentral. Lineage: Bacteria; Pseudomonadati; Pseudomonadota; Betaproteobacteria; Nitrosomonadales; Methylophilaceae. RNAcentral also lists the same sequence under 1 other name.
GGGGCUGACCCGGUUUCGACGUGGGUUGCAAAGCAGUGCAGGGCAUACCGAGGAUUCAGGUUCCCUCGUAAAUCCAUCUGAACAAGUAUAGUCGCAAACGACGAAACUUACGCUCUGGCUGCUUAAUCCAGCCGGACGCUGCACCGAAGAGCCUCUCGGUCGGGCCGGGUAACCGGCAGCAGCGUCAUUUAGAGAGGAUCGUGUCUUACCGGGUUGCUUGGUAAGGCAUUAAAUCCAAGGCAACUCGCUAGUCAUCUGCUUGCUCGUUGGUGGGUGCCUGGUUAAACAUAAACAACACAGCUAAGUAUGUAGAACUGUCUGUGGAGGGCUUGCGGACGGGGGUUCAAUUCCCCCCAGCUCCACCA